Molecule: long non-coding RNA, 1167 nt
Filed under: Bos taurus (domestic cattle)
Lineage: Eukaryota; Metazoa; Chordata; Mammalia; Artiodactyla; Bovidae
Description: long non-coding RNA NONBTAT013641
Source: RNAcentral
GUAGAAUGAGCUAGCAGGAUCUUGAUGUUCAGGGAGAAGAGAAGUAUGCACUGAAAUGCCAGUGUUCAGAACCCCACCGUUUAGGACAAGAUCUUCGGUACUAACUGAAGACAGAGGACAGUGUCAGCUUUGAACCCAGAGGCAGUGCAGUGUUGCUGUGACAGGUCCCUAGUGUCGACACCAGCCAGUCCUGGCUGUUUGGGGAGCUAACUGGAUGCCGAUUUGGGGUCUCCGUGCCCACCUCAAGGACACCAGGGCAGCGUGGGUGCAAAUGCAGUGAUGGCGGGGCCUGUUAGCAUUUGAGCCUUUCUGCUCGCCAGCCGGAAAUGCCCCAAGUCUCUGCUGUCAACUAGGGAAGUUGCCAUCCUAGCAGCCACCAGAGGCCACUGGGGAUCAAGGAGACAGCAACUCAGUUGAUUUUUCUGACCACAGGCAUAACCUUGCCAAGAACCCUGGAGCUGCAAGGUUCUUGGGCAUCAGAACCAGCUGGGACACUUUCCUCAUUCUCUUGCUGUGAAAGCUCUGGUUGGAUUCUUGGUUCUCAUUAUGGCACAGGAGUCUGUUUUAUAGCUGAUCAGUGACCUUUGAUUUCAGCUGCACCACUGGCUAUGCACCUCUCCCCUCCCAACAUUCCUGGAGAGUAUUUUCACAAUUGAUUAUUGUUUCCCCAACCCAAGCCUGGAAGAAGGCAAUUAGCGCUCCCUUGUCUCUGUCUUCCUCCAGACCUAAUGCCUGAGGUCCUCCAGCCAUCUUUGCCUGCAGUUUCAGGACUGUUUACAAACCUAACGCACCUAUUGGUACCUGGAGGUGCCAAUAAAUUGGAGCAUGAAGAUUUUCUUCUGGAAUGUUUCAUUGUUCUCAUGUUGAAAAGUGAAAUGCAAACACUUGAAGACUCUGAGCCUUAUUUCUUUACGUGCUGAAAAGAAAUCUGCCAUACUAUUUGGUCUUCUUGAGGGAUGGCUCUACAGGAUGUGACUGCUGGAGGCUGCCUUUUAAGAAGAUCCUGGUUUCAAAAUGCGUAACCUUUUGUGUUUAAUUGCAGCGAAAUGCCCCUAAGUGCAAAAUGUGAAUUCCUUGACUUUGUUCUACUUGGUGAAUUUCUAUGCUAUCUCCUGUCUGCGCCAGUUGGUGAAUGAUGUACCCGACAGUGCUCUAUAAAAGGUGCAC